RNAcentral lists this ribosomal RNA (459 nucleotides) under uncultured bacterium. RNAcentral describes it as "partial 16S ribosomal RNA". It matches the Rfam family "Bacterial small subunit ribosomal RNA", at positions 338 to 795 of the family's 1533-position model. The record is from RNAcentral.
CCUACGGGCAGCAGCAGUGAGGAAUAUUGGUCAAUGGGCGGGAGCCUGAACCAGCCAAGCCGCGUGAGGGAAGAAGGUACAGCGUAUCGUAAACCUCUUUUGUCAGGGAACAAAGGCGGGGACUAGUCCCCGGAUGAGGGUACCUGAAGAAAAAGCAUCGGCAAACUCCGUGCCAGCAGCCGCGGUAAUACGGAGGAUGCGAGCGUUAUCCGGAUUGAUUGGGUUUAAAGGGUGCGCAGGCGGCCUGUUAAGUCAGCGGUAAAAGCCCGGGGCUCAACCCCGGCGAGCCGUUGAAACUGGCGGGCUGGAGUUGGAGAGAAGUACGCGGAAUGCGCGGUGUAGCGGUGAAAUGCUUAGAUAUCGCGCAGAACCCCGAUUGCGAAGGCAGCGUACCGGCUCCACACUGACGCUGAGGCACGAAAGCGUGGGUAUCGAACAGGAUUAGAUACCCCUGUAGUC